This 520-nucleotide ribosomal RNA is filed under the name uncultured Glomus. Its description in RNAcentral is "partial 18S ribosomal RNA". The record is from RNAcentral. Lineage: Eukaryota; Fungi; Glomeromycota; Glomeromycetes; Glomerales; Glomeraceae.
CGUAAGGCGCCGAAUGAGUCAUUAAAAAAUUAACAUCAUCCGAUCCCUAGUCGGCAUAGUUUAUGGUUAAGACUACGACGGUAUCUGAUCGUCUUCGAUCCCCCUAACUUUCGUUCUUGAUUAAUGAAAACAUCCUUGGCAAAUGCUUUCGCAGUAGUUAGUCUUCAAUAAAUCCAAGAAUUUCACCUCUGACAAUUGAAUACUAAUGCCCCCAACUAUCCCUAUUAAUCAUUACGUCGAUCCUAGAAACCAACAAAAUAGAAUCAAACGUCCUAUUUCAUUAUUCCAUGCUAAUGUAUUCAAGCGCGAGCUUGCUUUAAACACUCUAAUUUUUCAAAGUACAGUCCUGAUUCCCAUGACACCAAAUUAAUGACAUCGUGGUUCGUCAGAAGGGAGAAACCAAAAUUACCAGUACGUACCGAGGCACGACCAACAAUUUGAUCUCGAAAUUCAACUACGAGCUUUUUAACUGCAACAACUUUAAUAUACGCUAUUGGAGCUGGAAUUACCGCGGCUGCUG